This 253-nucleotide ribosomal RNA is filed under the name uncultured bacterium. RNAcentral describes it as "partial 16S ribosomal RNA". It matches the Rfam family "Bacterial small subunit ribosomal RNA", at positions 524 to 776 of the family's 1533-position model. The record is from RNAcentral.
AACGUAGGAGACAAACGUUAUCCGGAGUUACUGGGCGUAAAGGGCGUGUAGGUGGUUUCGUAAGUCUGGCGUGAAAUUUUUCGGCUUAACCGGGAAAGGUCGUCGGAUACUGCGGAGCUAGAGGACGGUAGAGGCGUGUGGAAUUCCGGGUGUAGUGGUGAAAUGCGUAAAGAUCCGGAGGAACACCAGUGGCGAAGGCGACACGCUGGGCCGUACCUGACACUGAUGCGCGACAGCAUGGGGAGCAAACAGG